AAUCAACGCUGGCGGCGUGCCUCAGACAUGCAAGUCGAACGAUUAAAGCUCUCUUCGGAGAGUGCAUAAAGUGGCGCACGGGUGAGUAACACGUAAGUAAUCUACCUUCGAGUGGGGAAUAACGUCCGGAAACGGACGCUAAUACCGCAUAAUGCAGCGGCAUCGCAAGAUGACAGUUGUUAAAGGAGCAAUUCGCUUGAAGAGGAGCUUGCGGCAGAUUAGCUAGUUGGUAAGGUAACGGCUUACCAAGGCUACGAUCUGUAACCGGUCUAAGAGGACGGUCGGUCACACUGACACUGAAUAACGGGUCAGACUCCUACGGGAGGCAGCAGUCGGGAAUUUUGGGCAAUGGGCGAAAGCCUGACCCAGCAACGCCGCGUGAAGGAUGAAGUAUUUCGGUAUGUAAACUUCGAAAGAAUAGGAAGAAUAAAUGACGGUACUAUUUAUAAGGUCCGGCUAACUACGUGCCAGCAGCCGCA
Molecule: ribosomal RNA, 479 nt
Filed under: uncultured bacterium
Lineage: Bacteria
Description: bacterial SSU rRNA
Rfam family: Bacterial small subunit ribosomal RNA
Source: RNAcentral